Molecule: long non-coding RNA, 1089 nt
Filed under: Marmota monax (woodchuck)
Lineage: Eukaryota; Metazoa; Chordata; Mammalia; Rodentia; Sciuridae
Source: RNAcentral
UGAACCAAAAGGUUAACUACAGUAAUAAACCUGGAAAACAUGACCUUAAAUUGCAUGUCAGAUUAUGUUAGUGAAUAUUUCUGUGGAAGAGUUGGCAUGAUUGAUGGGAAUAAGCCUUAUUUACUAGCAAUAUUAAUCCAUUAGUAGGGCACAGGAAAAAUUUUUUCCUGCUUGAGGUAUUAUAAAUAUGGACAGAACGGAGAAAAGACUAUAAGCAGUUUGAUAGCCUAUAGAUUCUUUUCUGACUAGAUUUUAAAAACUGGUUCACAGAGAAUACCUUUCCUGGUAGAAUGAGUUAAGAUUGGAAGCAUGUUCCAUUUGUCCUCAUUAUUGAGAGGCAGGCAAGUCAAAAAGUAAAUAUUAUAAGCAGUAUUCAUUUAAAGAACUUUGUUUAUUUUGUGUUACCUAUUAGAAGUUUUAUUCUUAAAAGAGUUUAAUUUUCGAGAAGUAGUAUUUGGACAUCUUUUUCUCUCUCUCCAGAAAAAGAAAAAGGAAAGUUUUUGUUUUUUGUUUAUGGUGUUGGGGGAUUGAGCCCAAGACCUAAAACGUGCCAGGCAAGUGCUCUGUCUACCACAGAGACAGCCUUCCGGAAAUAAUUUUUAUAUCUGCUCAGGAGUUCCAAAUUCAGUUUUUUGUGCCCACCAGAUUAGUACCCGGUCCUUCUGACAUUUGAAUUAGUUAAUUUUAUUUGAAAGUGAGAAGAAAGAGUAAUCCUCUCUCUGUAGCUCUUAAAAUACUAGUUUGGGAGUUGGAGGCGGAAAGGAGAGCUCAAGUAUCUUUUCUUCCAGUAAGUGUUCAGUAGGAGAAGUAAUGUCACUUGAGUUUAGGAACUAGUAGUUAAGUAUUUUUACUUAGCCCUUUCUUUAUGAUUUAAGAUCAGAGUUUCAGGAUGGGGGGUAUUAUAAUUAAACAAGUUGAAGAUAGAACUGCUUAUUACCAACAUUUUAGGAAAUUUUUGACUAUUAUAUUUAUUUGGAGACCCUUUGACACAAUUUUUAAAAAUUUUUUUAGUUGUAGAUGGACAAUACUACCGUGUUUUAUUUAUAUAUUUUUAUGUGGUGCUGAGGAUUAAAACCAGUGCCUCACACA